This 110-nucleotide transfer RNA is filed under the name Streptomyces nigrescens. Its description in RNAcentral is "tRNA-OTHER". The record is from RNAcentral. RNAcentral also lists the same sequence under 1 other name. Lineage: Bacteria; Bacillati; Actinomycetota; Actinomycetes; Kitasatosporales; Streptomycetaceae.
GGAGGUGCCACAUGGGUCGGUGGAGUUUCAGAUUGCCCAGUCAAGCCUUCGGCGAUCUUGAAACUGUCGUGGCGGCAACGUCACCGUGGGUUCAAAUCCCACAGCCUCCG